GACGAACGCUGGCGGCGUGCUUAACACAUGCAAGUCGAACGGAAAGGCCCUGCUUUUGUGGGGUGCUCGAGUGGCGAACGGGUGAGUAACACGUGAGUAACCUGCCCUUGACUUUGGGAUAACUUCAGGAAACUGGGGCUAAUACCGGAUAGGAGCUCCUGCUGCAUGGUGGGGGUUGGAAAGUUUCGGCGGUUGGGGAUGGACUCGCGGCUUAUCAGCUUGUUGGUGGGGUAGUGGCUUACCAAGGCUUUGACGGGUAGCCGGCCUGAGAGGGUGACCGGCCACAUUGGGCCUGCGAUACGGCGCAGACUCCUACGGGCGGCAGCAGUGGGGAAUAUUGCGCAAUGGGCGGAAGCCUGAUGCAGCAACGCCGCGUGCGGGAUGACGGCCUUCGGGUUGUAAACCGCUUUCGCCUGUGACGAAGCGUGAGUGACGGUAAUGGGUAAAGAAGCACCGGCUAACUACGUG
Molecule: ribosomal RNA, 468 nt
Filed under: uncultured bacterium
Lineage: Bacteria
Description: partial 16S ribosomal RNA
Rfam family: Bacterial small subunit ribosomal RNA
Source: RNAcentral